Brevibacillus choshinensis is the source of this 73-nucleotide non-coding RNA. NCBI's taxonomy places the organism in Bacteria, Bacillati, Bacillota, Bacilli, Caryophanales, Paenibacillaceae. The record is from Rfam.
GCCGGUAUAGCUCAAUUGGUAGAGCACCUGACUUGUAAUCAGGGGGUUGUGGGUUCAAGUCCUAUUGCCGGCA